Molecule: transfer RNA, 355 nt
Filed under: uncultured Microcystis sp.
Lineage: Bacteria; Bacillati; Cyanobacteriota; Cyanophyceae; Chroococcales; Microcystaceae
Description: partial 16S-23S ribosomal RNA intergenic spacer
Rfam family: tRNA (bases 133-206)
Source: RNAcentral
AAGGGAGACCUAAUUCGGGUAUAAGACGAAAAAAGAGUAGUCGAAACCAAGAGUCAAUCCCAAAAGGUCGGAACGAGGUAUGUGGCUUUCAAACUAGGUUCUGGGUUCACACAAGACCUGAAUCAGGAACAAGGGCUAUUAGCUCAGGUGGUUAGAGCGCACCCCUGAUAAGGGUGAGGUCCCUGGUUCGAGUCCAGGAUGGCCCACCUGCACAGGUGGCAAAAACAAAGAAGCGAGGAAUCAGCACCUUAUCUUAUCUAUAUAUAAGAGAGAAUGCUGGCUCUGAGUAAAGAGUCCAGAGGAACCUUGAAAACUGCAUAGAGCUAGGUGAAAAAGCCAAAAAAGAAGACCGCAA